AUUGAACGCUGGCGGCAUGCCUUACACAUGCAAGUCGAACGGCAGCAUGAUCUAGCUUGCUAGAUUGAUGGCGAGUGGCGAACGGGUGAGUAAUACAUCGGAACGUGCCCUGUAGUGGGGGAUAACUAGUCGAAAGAUUAGCUAAUACCGCAUACGACCUGAGGGUGAAAGUGGGGGACCGCAAGGCCUCAUGCUAUAGGAGCGGCCGAUGUCUGAUUAGCUAGUUGGUGAGGUAAAGGCUCACCAAGGCGACGAUCAGUAGCUGGUCUGAGAGGACGAUCAGCCACACUGGAACUGAGACACGGCCCAGACUCCUACGGGAGGCAGCAGUGGGGAAUUUUGGACAAUGGGCGAAAGCCUGAUCCAGCAAUGCCGCGUGUGUGAAGAAGGCCUUCGGGUUGUAAAGCACUUUUGUCCGGAAAGAAAUGGCUCUGGUUAAUACCUAGGGUCGAUGACGGUACCGGAAGAAUAAGGACCGGCUAACUACGUG
RNAcentral lists this ribosomal RNA (490 nucleotides) under uncultured bacterium. RNAcentral's name for it is "partial 16S ribosomal RNA". It matches the Rfam family "Bacterial small subunit ribosomal RNA", at positions 30 to 507 of the family's 1533-position model. The record is from RNAcentral.